GAUGAACGCUCGUUUCAGGCUUAACACAUGCAAGUCGAGGGGCAGCACAGGUAGCAAUACCGGGUGGCGACCGGCGCACGGGUGAGUAACGCGUAUGCAACUUGCCUAUCAGAGGGGGAUAACCCGGCGAAAGUCGGACUAAUACCGCAUGAAGCAGGGGCCCCGCAUGGGGAUAUUUGCUAAAGAUUCAUCGCUGAUAGAUAGGCAUGCGUUCCAUUAGGCAGUUGGCGGGGUAACGGCCCACCAAACCGACGAUGGAUAGGGGUUCUGAGAGGAAGGUCCCCCACAUUGGUACUGAGACACGGACCAAACUCCUACGGGAGGCAGCAGUGAGGAAUAUUGGUCAAUGGGCGUAAGCCUGAACCAGCCAAGUCGCGUGAGGGAUGAAGGUUCUAUGGAUCGUAAACCUCUUUUAUAAGGGAAUAAAGUGCGGGACGUGUCCCGUUUUGUAUGUACCUUAUGAAUAAGGAUCGGCUAACUCCGUGCCAGCAGCCGCGGUAAUACGGAGGAUCCGAGCGUUAUCCGGAUUUAUUGGGUUUAAAGGGUGCGUAGGCGGCCUUUUAAGUCAGCGGUGAAAGUCUGUGGCUCAACCAUAGAAUUGCCGUUGAAACUGGGAGGCUUGAGUAUGUUUGAGGCAGGCGGAAUGCGUGGUGUAGCGGUGAAAUGCUUAGAUAUCACGCAGAACCCCGAUUGCGAAGGCAGCCUGCCAAGCCAUUACUGACGCUGAUGCACGAAAGCGUGGGGAUCAAACAGGAUUAGAUACCCUGGUAGUCCACGCAGUAAACGAUGAUCACUAGCUGUUUGCGAUACACUGUAAGCGGCACAGCGAAAGCGUUAAGUGAUCCACCUGGGGAGUACGCCGGCAACGGUGAAACUCAAAGGAAUUGACGGGGGCCCGCACAAGCGGAGGAACAUGUGGUUUAAUUCGAUGAUACGCGAGGAACCUUACCCGGGUUUGAACGCAUUUUGACAGCUCUGGAAACAGAGCCUCUAGCAAUAGCGAUUUGCGAGGUGCUGCAUGGUUGUCGUCAGCUCGUGCCGUGAGGUGUCGGCUUAAGUGCCAUAACGAGCGCAACCCUUGCCACUAGUUACUAACAGGUAAAGCUGAGGACUCUGGUGGGACUGCCAGCGUAAGCUGCGAGGAAGGCGGGGAUGACGUCAAAUCAGCACGGCCCUUACAUCCGGGGCGACACACGUGUUACAAUGGCGUGGACAAAGGGAGGCCACCUGGCGACAGGGAGCGAAUCCCCAAACCACGUCUCAGUUCGGAUCGGAGUCUGCAACCCGACUCCGUGAAGCUGGAUUCGCUAGUAAUCGCGCAUCAGCCAUGGCGCGGUGAAUACGUUCCCGGGCCUUGUACACACCGCCCGUCAAGCCAUGGGAGCCGGGGGUACCUGAAGUCCGUAACCGAAAGGAUCGGCCUAGGGUAAAACUGGUGACUGGGGCUAAGUC
This 1452-nucleotide ribosomal RNA is filed under the name uncultured organism. Its description in RNAcentral is "16S ribosomal RNA". It matches the Rfam family "Bacterial small subunit ribosomal RNA". The record is from RNAcentral.